AAUAGCGUAUAUUAAGUUGUUGCAGUUAAAAGCUCGUAGUUGAAUUUCGGGGUUAGUAGGUUGGUCAUGCCUCUGGUAUGUACUGGUCUCACUGAUUCCUCCUUCCUGAUGAACUGUAAUGCCAUUAAUUUGGUGUUGCGGGAAUUUGGACUGUUACUUUGAAAAAAUUAGAGUGUUUAAAACAAGCUAACGCUUGAAUACAUUAGCAUGGAAUAAUGAAAUAGGACGUUCGAUCCUAUUUUGUUGGUUUCUAGGAUUGACGUAAUGAUUAAUAGGGAUAGUUGGGGGCAUUAGUAUUCAAUUGUCAGAGGUGAAAUUCUUGGAUUUAUUGAAGACUAACUACUGCGAAAGCAUUUGCCAAGGAUGUUUUCAUUAAUCAAGAACGAAAGUUAGGGGGAUCGAAGACGAUCAGAUACCGUCGUAGUCUUAACCAUAAACUAUGCCGACUAGGGAUCGGAUGAUGUUAAUUUUUUUAAUGACUCAUUCGGCGCCUUACG
This 497-nucleotide ribosomal RNA is filed under the name uncultured Glomus. Its description in RNAcentral is "SSU rRNA". It matches the Rfam family "Eukaryotic small subunit ribosomal RNA", at positions 593 to 1092 of the family's 1831-position model. Lineage: Eukaryota; Fungi; Glomeromycota; Glomeromycetes; Glomerales; Glomeraceae. The record is from RNAcentral.